UGCAGACUGAGAUCCAUUUCUGGAUCUGUCCUUGCUGCAAACUCUGAGCACUCGGUGGUGAUUUUGAUCAGAUGAAUUCCUCCUAUCAGGAAGAAAGGCAACGUAUGCUGCUCAACUUGCUGUUGCUGGAGGUUUUCUAAUAACAGCCAUGAUGACUGCAAAAAAUGAGACAUGAAAGAACAGCCACAUUUAGUAGCUGACAACUCUUAGAGAAGCGAGGCUGGAUGCAGCAGAAAUCCUGACCCUCUUUUGCUCAGCAGUACUGCAUUGCAAUUAUCUGACAUGGAGUUUGGUUUAACCCAGCACAAGAUCAGAAUCCCAGUCAUUAAAUUUAGCCUUCCAAGCUGCCAUCUUUCAUGAGCAUGUUUCCUUGAGGCUCUUUAGCAGAAGGCCUGGCACUCACAGCUUGCACACGCCAGCAGGUGCUGGUGACCACAUUGCUCUGUAACAUCAAAGCACAAUUUCAAUACCCAGGAAGGUUGGAUUUUCUGCUCAGGGGGAAAAUUUGCAGGGUCGUGGUCACCAGCCGCCCCAGGAAAGAGGCAGGAAGCCAUCUGAGGCAAAGGGAAUUUCAUCCUCAGCCACACAGCUCCAUGGAUCCCCCUCAAUGAGAAAGGCUUCUUGCUGCUCACUAUGAUGCCUGAAAAGAAGGGAUACUGCUCACUGUCAAGUCUUCAUGGGUUUGCAGGAGCUCAACUCACUCAACUGCCUGCUGAAACAUGAAUGACCAUCCUGAAGGACCCUGUCAAACCUUUGUGCAAAGCAAGACCUGAGCCAGUUUUUCACCAAAGUUUCUGAGAAACCAAACUCCAGGGUGGGGUGGGGAUUGUAGCCAAAGGACUUGAUGG
This 848-nucleotide long non-coding RNA is filed under the name Chloebia gouldiae (Gouldian finch). Its description in RNAcentral is "Erythrura gouldiae (Gouldian finch) lncRNA (ENSEGOG00005016950.1)". The record is from RNAcentral. Lineage: Eukaryota; Metazoa; Chordata; Aves; Passeriformes; Passeridae.